This 214-nucleotide long non-coding RNA is filed under the name Elaeis guineensis (African oil palm). RNAcentral describes it as "long non-coding RNA (EGUI_LNC028342)". The record is from RNAcentral. Lineage: Eukaryota; Viridiplantae; Streptophyta; Magnoliopsida; Arecales; Arecaceae.
CCAGAACCCUGGUCCGUCAUCUCAAUUGCCGGCCACUUUUUAUACAACCGAAGGUCCACCGGCGGGCUCUCUCAUCAGAAGGUCCUCAUCUUUUUUGAAACAUCUGUUCCAAAGCCUUCGUCCCCUACACCAGUGACAUCGCUGACACUUCUAAACACCUUGCUAAAGCUGCCUUCGUGGAAUCUUUUGGACGUCCGAUUGAAGCUGAUGACGU